RNAcentral lists this ribosomal RNA (702 nucleotides) under uncultured bacterium. RNAcentral describes it as "bacterial SSU rRNA". It matches the Rfam family "Bacterial small subunit ribosomal RNA", at positions 95 to 813 of the family's 1533-position model. The record is from RNAcentral.
GUGGCGGACGGGUGAGUAAUGAAUCGCUAACGUACCCUCCCGUCUGGGAUAGCCGAGGGAAACUUCGGGUAAUACCAGAUGACACCCCCUUGUCGCAUGGCGAGGGGCUCAAAGGAGCAGUCCGCGGGUGGCGCGGGCGAUUUCGUAUCAGCUAGUUGGUGGGGUAACGGCCCACCAAGGCGACGACGCGUAGCCGGACUGAGAGGUUGGCCGGCCACAUUGGGACUGAGACACUGCCCAGACUCCUACGGGGGGCUGCAGUAACGAAUCUUCCGCAAUGCACGAAAGUGUGACGGAGCGACGCCGCGUGUGGGACGAAGUCCUUCGGGAUGUAAACCACUGUCAGGGGCUACCAAGUUCUGAGGAGCCCCAGAGGAAGGCACGGCUAACUCUGUGCCAGCAGCCGCGGUAAGACAGAGGUGCCUAGCGUUAGGCGGAAUCACUGGGCUUAAAGCGUGUGUAGGCGGGCCCGUAAGUACCUUGUGAAAUCCCACGGCUCAACCGUGGAACUGCUGGGUAUACUGCGGGCCUUGAGCGGCCUAGGGGCAGACGGAACAAGUGGUGGAGCGGUGAAAUGCGUAGAUAUCACUUGGAACGCCGACGGUGAAAACAGUCUGCUGGGGGCCUGCUGACGCUGAGACACGAAAGCCAGGGGAGCGAACGGGAUUAGAUACCCCGGUAGUCCUGGCCCUAAACGAUGUC